GACGAACGCUGGCGGCGUGCUUAACACAUGCAAGUCGAGCGGUAAGGCCCUUUCGGGGGUACACGAGCGGCGAACGGAUGAGUAACACGUGGGUGACCUGCCCUCAGCUCUGGGAUAAGCCUGGGAAACUGGGUCUAAUACCGGAUAUGACUCCAUGACGCAUGUUGUGGGGUGGAAAGCCUUGUGCGGCUGAGGAUGGGCCCGCGGCCUAUCAGCUUGUUGGUGGGGUGAUGGCCUACCAAGGCGACGACGGGUAGCCGGCCUGAGAGGGCGACCGGCCACACUGGGACUGAGACACGGCCCAGACUCCUACGGGAGGCAGCAGUGGGGAAUCUUGCGCAAUGGGCGAAAGCCUGACGCAGCGACGCCGCGUGAGGGAUGACGGCCUCGG
RNAcentral lists this ribosomal RNA (391 nucleotides) under uncultured bacterium. Its description in RNAcentral is "bacterial SSU rRNA". It matches the Rfam family "Bacterial small subunit ribosomal RNA", at positions 28 to 420 of the family's 1533-position model. The record is from RNAcentral.